UAGUGUGAGUUAUUCUAAAGUGUUACCCAUUUUUGCUCAUGUGAAGAGGAUGGUUUUUUUCGUCGAUAUUGAAACGAGAGUGAAGUACAAAUCCUAGUUUACGUGAUAAAUGAUAGUUCAGCAUCCAAAUACAUUGCUAAUAUGGAAACAUUUGAAUUCGUACUGAACGAGAGAAGUAGGCUUCGUGAGAACAAUGCUGGUUUUUACUUUCAGUUUCACUUCAAAUGAAUUUGUUUUGGCUUGUUUAUAGCUACUAAUACGUUUUUUUACCGUUAGGGGACCUGGAUGAACCCAACCCACUCACACGUCAAACAGGAAGAGAAACUGAAACCCCUUGAGUAACAUGAGUUUCUUAACAAAGAGACACAAUCUGACUGAAGCCACUGGACAACUGUAGGAGAUGAUCUGCCAAACACAUGAUAAACUCCUUGAGGUUUUCUGCCGCACUGAUCAGAAGUUGAUAUGUCUGCUGUGUACGAUGGAUGAACAUAAAAACCACGACACUGUAUCAGCUGUAGCACAAAGGACAGAGAAACAGAGUGUUCAUAGGGCUGACACCUGUAGUCAGCAGCGCUAGUCAAUGGGUGCAGGAGUCUGUUACAACACAGAAGGGUCGGAGACAGGAGAUCACAGACAGGGAUGUUUAUUGAUACCAGCAGAGUAUAACAGCAGUGCAGGUGAGUAUGUAGUAACGUAAAGGUGAUAAACUGGAGUGAAGAUAAGUGAUACUGUCCUUUUGUGGUUGCAGACGUGGAGAUCUUGAAUGGCGUUGGAAUGGAUGAACGUAGAACAUGGAGAACACUCACACACAGACUGGAGAUCACACGAGGAGAACAGGAGACGCUGGAGACAGGUAAGUAGUUUGGUAGGAGUCCUUGAGGUAAGCAUACAAGUAAGUUUAGAUGCAAACGAGACCGGACAAUGUGGCUGUGAGUGUGAGUGCUCUUUAUGCUGGUGUUGAUGAGGUGGUGAUGAGGUGCAGGUGCCGGUGAUCAGAACUCAGGAGAAGUGGUGCGCUGUGAUUGGUGGAUGGUGGAGCCUGGCGUGUCUGUGACAGAGUCAAGUAUUCACCUGAAAUAUCAACAUUAAGACAGGUUGAAUAUUCAAACGAAAGCACUGCAAAAUGCACCUUAGUGACACACAGUCCAUUUAGGUGUAGGUGUACAGUGCGAAGUGAUGCUGUAACGGCUGGACAGGAUGUCUGUGAUCCUCCUGGUCAGGUUUCCUUCCACCUGCACUUGAUUGUGGUGGUAUUCAGUCUGCUGAAUGACUUGUUGUACCAAGUCUGUUGUGUUGGUCAGCAGAAUCAGAAGGUGUCAGUGGAAAGUGUCAUUACACUUUGCGGAAACAUCUGUGUCCUCCCCAGGAUGUUUAAUUGACCCUCUGAGAAGUCCUUGGUCACCUUCAAGCAGAAGGUUUGGUUUGUCAGGCAGGUCAAAUCUCCAUAGGUGAAGGAAUCUUUUCACUGAUGAUGCUCCAUUGCAUGCGAGACAACUGAACAACUUCUGAGUGAACAUGCAAUAUUUGAACACUGAUGAAUUUGGUGUUAUUGUAAAAUAAAUAAUAGCGAGUUGUUGGUUAAACACAAGAACACAAAAUAACAUACGAUUAACUCAUGUCAAAAGUGCGAAUGGUAAAUAAGAUCUUCUUUUCAGAGUCAUAUAUUUAGUGAGCAGGUCUCAUUUGAUCACCAGAUUCUUCACUACCACUGUGACAUGGUAGUGGAAUUUAGACUUGGUCUGGAUUAAUUAAAGGAAAGGUAGCAAAGGUUUCAAUCAGGUCAAUUAUGACCAGGUCCUAUGCACUUACAGUGUUUACACACAGUAAGUUGACAAGACGGUAACUCUUCAAAAUUGUUUGACACAAUUAAAAAGAAUUUAUAAAAAAAUAAAUUCCCUUGUCCUAUAUGUAUGAAGAUGAAUGAUGUAUCAUAGAUUUGCAUGAUGUGAAUAAUUUUAGUCUGGAUAGUCUUAUGAUCUAUAUCAGGUAGAGAUGUUGUGAGGUUGUAGUAGUGAGGGUGUGUGUUCUGUAUGUUUAUGUAUAGGAGAUGGGUGGUGUCUAUCCUACCAUAAUCUGUGUUGUAUAAUUUAGUUUCAGUUCUACACCAGGAGGCCAUGUAGCUAUGAGUGCUAUGAGGUGUAAAUGGCCUCUUGAAGUACCUCCACCCCAUCUCCUACAUGUCAAGUUGUGUGUGUCCUGGCUCGAUGCAGGUGGGACCAGACACCCUUGUGGACUCUGGCCCUGAAAAUAGUAGCCGUCAGUCUGAAAGUGAAACAGACACAGAGAGAAAAACAGUUGGAUCUUGAACCUUUACACAAAUUGCAUUAAGAUAGAUGAUACUAUCUUAAUUUUUCUUGAAUGGUCUUAGCCAGACAGUUGUUGCAGAUGGCUUUAACCCUCUGGAGUCUGAGGCUGAUUUGGGGUCCUAGAGAAGUUUUGACAUGCCCUGACAUUUGUGCUUUUUUUCAAUUUUUUAUAAACAUAUUAAUGACCAAAGUUUCAUUACACUGUAUUCAGCAGAAACUAGGCUACAAUAUAAUAUGUGAGCAACAAGUAUGUACAUUUUUGUAUUUUUACAAUUUAAAAUAAUGGUUUUCUACUUUAAUAUACUUUAAAAUAUAAUGUAUUCUGAUGCAAGAUGUCUAAACAUUCAUAUUACCUCUAUGGCAUUUCAUAUAUUAUAUUUGUUAUAUUAUAGAGCCUAAAUGGUAAUGUGCAGUUUAAUAAAUUGCUAACACAUUUUAUUUCAGUAUUUAUUAUGUAUUUCAGUUGAAUUCACUCAUCUCAGUAUAGCAAUCUAGUCUGGGAAUAGCCAUGGCAAAAUAUACUAAUGUAAGUUAUGUGUAGUAAACGAAACCGUGCGUCGAUCUGCCUCAUUAAUUCACACUGAGACACACAAAACGUGCAGGAUUCAUAUUUAAACAGUAUUUUUGCGGUUUAAUAUUCACAGACACUAUAUCGCAAUUAGAAUAAAGAACUAUAGAAUAAAAAAAAAAACUUACCAUUCACAAUCAUUGGCUUGAUCUAGUUGAUCCUCGAAAUGAAAGUGAAACCAGUCAUGCUCUUUCUCUGAGGUAAAUCCUUUUAGAAUUAUUCUUCACUGCAUCUCAAAACGAUGAAAAGUAGCCUACAUGAAACUUACCAAGCUUGAGGCAUUUUUCUGAGUUGACGCAGGCGUUCACUCUGUUGCAUGUAUCGCCUCAGAAUUUGUGUUUGAAUAGAGCGCCCGCUCCGUGGGCGUGGCCGAGUUAGUGGAUAAUGAGCUGACUUGCAAACAUCUGACAUCUCUCUCUUUUCAUACAGAUUACAUAAACAGAGAGAACAUGAUUUAAAACCUGACAUUUCAACAUUUCUUUAGACAUAUAUCUCAUUUUUGUGUCAUUAGUAUUCACUAAGUUACAGUUCAUUUUCUGAGGGAGUAUCAGAUUGGACUUCGUUCAGAGGGAGACGACAGAUCAUGCAUCAUGUUAGUUUUCUUUAUUUUGCAAAAAGCACAACAUUUUGUUUUUACUCUGAGUGUACACAAAUAAAAAAAAGACAUUCUAUAGUUUAAAUUGAUAUAUUACUUCUGUCUCUAUGACAAAAGAUGACAGAGUAUUUUAAGUUGAUUUUGCUGCUAUGUGAAAAAAAUCCAGCAAAACGCGCUGGCGCGUUUCCCGACUUCAGAGUGUUAACCUGUUAAGAUUUUAUGCCAUUAGGAGAAAAAUUGUUUAGACAUGGAUCAUUAUUAUGAUCAUGUUUCUGCAAAGAAAAAGGUCAGAUAAACUGAAAGUUGAUGGUCAGAUCUGACUGCUGGUGUUUAAGCAUCAUCAGAGAAUCUUGCGACUUAAACUGCUUUUGCAGUUGUGCUUUCACAGUCUGCUGUAUUGUGAGCAUUAUGACAGCCAGGUCUGCUGGGGGAAUCUCUAAGCACUGGGGCAUUUUGGGGAUUUCCACCUGGUUUUGGCCUACCAAAUUGAAAAGCUUCUCAUACCCACAUACAGUGCCCUAAAUACAAAAUUUUGGUGUCAUUUUACAGGAAACCCUUUGAAGUUACAUAAAACACUGCUGAAAGUGAUACAAAUUAUACAACCCCAAUUCCAGAAGAGCUGGGACAUUUUGUAAAAUACAAUAAAAUUAAGAAUCUGUGAUUUGUCGAUUCUCUUUAACCUCUAUUUAACUGACAAAGUACAAAGAAAAUAUAGGCUCAUAGGCUAUUUCGUGGACAAAUACACACACAAAAUUAUGUCAAAAUAUACCCGUAAAAACAGUUUUGUAACGUAAACGGUUGAGAAAGAAAUGUGUAACAGCCUGUAUUGUUUUCGUGAAUUGACAUCAACCUAUAGCUGCUAAGGAUGUUCAUUUCGGUUUUAAACGACAAGAUUGUUAAAUUAGAAUUAAAUUAAAUUAGAAUGGAUAAGUGUCUAUAAGGAAUAAAUACGUGAAAUAUAUUCACUUAAACAAUUAACAGAUUAACAAAAUGAAAGAAAAAAACUGUGUGACAAGUAGUAGCCUAGCCUAUAUGCUGAGUUUUGAUUUAUUUUUGCGAGGCUUUCAACACAAACACGUUUAAGAAAAAGGAAACUGAGAUGGCAGAAAACAAUACCUGUUUUCUUUACAAAAACGUCUCAGGUUACGUAUGUAACCAUGGUUCCCUGAGAACAGGGAACGAGACGCUGCGUUUGACACACUAUGGAGAACGC
Molecule: long non-coding RNA, 4682 nt
Organism: Ctenopharyngodon idella (grass carp)
Lineage: Eukaryota; Metazoa; Chordata; Actinopteri; Cypriniformes; Xenocyprididae
Exons: 3
Source: RefSeq, a predicted model, not a curated record